Brassica napus (rape) is the source of this 324-nucleotide long non-coding RNA. RefSeq lists it as uncharacterized. The transcript is spliced from 4 exons. The record is from RefSeq and is a predicted model, not a curated record. NCBI's taxonomy places the organism in Eukaryota, Viridiplantae, Streptophyta, Magnoliopsida, Brassicales, Brassicaceae.
UUUCUGUGAGAACAUGUCAAAAUCUACCAGUUCAACAUCUAGAUUAUCGUGGAGUGCAGGUGGCUUGUGUUACAGCGCCAUGGUUUCUUUCCAUCUUCAUCAAUAUGCUUCCAUGGGAAAGUGUUCUCAGAGUGUGGGAUGUGCUUCUGUUUGAAGGAAACCGUGUAAUGCUUUUCAGAACAGCACUUGCAUUGAUGGAGUUUUAUGGUCCUACACUAAUUACAACCAAGGACGCUGGAGAUGCGAUUACUCUGCUUCAAUCAAUGACUGGCUCAACGUUUGAGCGCAGCCAGCUCGUCUUCACUGCUUGCAUGGGUUACCAAG